AUGCUACACCUUGAUGCAGCUUCUCCUCCACUGCUGACGCUGCAGGCUUUGUUUCGGUGCGACACAGCAGAGUCUCUGUGCAGCUCUGGCAGAGAUGGAGGAGGUGAAAAUGGAUGCUUCUUGAGGGAACAAGCUGCAGACGGUGAUCUCUACCGUGCAGAUUCACCAGGACAGCAAACAGCACUGAGUGAUUUGCUGAUAAACUAUGAUGAGCCUCAUCUUUUCAGCUGCAAAAGUGCUGCUAUUCCAGAUAUUUCAGUUUCGUAAAUCCUCUUCUUGCCAUUGCUGAUCUACAUCUGACGUCAUCCAUGAACCGAGAUGUUCCAAAUGAUGAACCUGCUUCAGUGUUUCUUGGUUUAAUUCUAUGUUACAGAUUAGGAUGGCAUUUUUCUUUGAAAUUAUCAUUACUUCUGUUUUCUUUUUGUUUAAAGACAGACCACAUGUUGGUCUCUCUGUAUCGAUUACGGUGUCGUCACUGGUCGCUAACAGCACUGUGUCGUCUGCAUAACGUAGGAUAUUUAUGUUACAACCUCCGAUGGAUUCUCCUAAUAAGUCUUGUGUUUUCCUCAUGAUGCUUUCACUGUACAAGGAGAACAUGUCAAAGAAAAAUGUUUCGUCUUUUGUACAUCCUUUCCAUCUCUGUUUGUCCUUCAGCGUCUGGAUUACUGCUUGAUGCUUUACUGUGUCGAAAGCUUUGGCGUAACCGAUGAAACACGUGUAGAAGUCUUGCUGUUCUUCUAUUGACCUUUCCAGAAUGUGAUUUGGUGCCGCAUAAAUAAAACUGAAGGAAAUAA
Molecule: long non-coding RNA, 794 nt
Organism: Acanthochromis polyacanthus (spiny chromis)
Lineage: Eukaryota; Metazoa; Chordata; Actinopteri; Pomacentridae
Exons: 2
Source: RefSeq, a predicted model, not a curated record